This 467-nucleotide ribosomal RNA is filed under the name uncultured bacterium. Its description in RNAcentral is "partial 16S ribosomal RNA". It matches the Rfam family "Bacterial small subunit ribosomal RNA", at positions 28 to 507 of the family's 1533-position model. The record is from RNAcentral.
GACGAACGCUGGCGGCGUGCUUAACACAUGCAAGUCGAACGGAAAGGCCUCUUUCGGGGGGUACUCGAGUGGCGAACGGGUGAGUAACACGUGAGUAACCUGCCCUUGACUUUGGGAUAACUUCAGGAAACUGGGGCUAAUACCGGAUAGGAGCUCCUGCUGCAUGGUGGGGGUUGGAAAGUUUCGGCGGUUGUGGAUGGACUCGCGGCCUAUCAGCUUGUUGGUGGGGUAGUGGCUUACCAAGGCUUUGACGGGUAGCCGGCCUGAGAGGGUGACCGGCCACAAUGGGGCUGAGAUACGGCCCAGACUCCUACGGGAGGCAGCAGUGGGGAAUAUUGCACAAUGGGUGGAAGCCUGAUGCAGCAACGCCGUGUGCGGGAUGACGGCCCUCGGGUUGUAAACCGCUUUCGCUCAGGACGAAGCUUUGUGUGACGGUAGUGGGUAAAGAAGCACCGGCUAACUACGUG